RNAcentral lists this ribosomal RNA (478 nucleotides) under uncultured bacterium. RNAcentral's name for it is "bacterial SSU rRNA". It matches the Rfam family "Bacterial small subunit ribosomal RNA", at positions 28 to 507 of the family's 1533-position model. The record is from RNAcentral.
GACGAACGCUGGCGGCGUGCCUAACACAUGCAAGUCGAACGGGAUCCAUACUAUGAAGUCUUCGGAUGGAUUAGUAUGGUGAGAGUGGCGGACGGGCGAGUAACGCGUGAGCAACCUGCCCUAUACUGGGGGAUAACACCGGGAAACCGGUGCUAAUACCGCAUAAGACUACGAGAUCGCAUGGUUUUGUAGUCAAAGCUCCGGCGGUAUAGGAUGGGCUCGCGUCCAAUUAGCUAGUUGGUGAGGUAACGGCCCACCAAGGCGACGAUUGGUAGCCGAACUGAGAGGUUGAUCGGCCGCAUUGGAACUGAGACACGGUCCAGACUCCUACGGGAGGCAGCAGUGGGGGAUAUUGCACAAUGGAGGAAACUCUGAUGCAGCGACGCCGCGUGAGUGAAGAAGGCCUUCGGGUCGUAAAGCUCUGUCCUAGGGGAAGAUAAUGACGGUACCCUAGGAGGAAGCCCCGGCUAACUACGUG